UGCACAUUUCUUCUACCACACCAUCUUCAGUAAAAUGCUGAUGAGUUGAGACUGCUGUUUGUGUUAGGUCAGAACAAAAAAUUGUGAAAGAAUUUGGAUCUACUGAACCAUAGUCUGGCUCAUCAAUAGUGACAGAACAGUUUACAAGAUGGUUUAGACCUUUGGACCAAUUACCAAAAGCUG
Astyanax mexicanus (Mexican tetra) is the source of this 183-nucleotide long non-coding RNA. RefSeq lists it as uncharacterized. The record is from RefSeq and is a predicted model, not a curated record. NCBI's taxonomy places the organism in Eukaryota, Metazoa, Chordata, Actinopteri, Characiformes, Acestrorhamphidae. The transcript is spliced from 2 exons.